This 468-nucleotide ribosomal RNA is filed under the name uncultured bacterium. Its description in RNAcentral is "partial 16S ribosomal RNA". It matches the Rfam family "Bacterial small subunit ribosomal RNA", at positions 28 to 507 of the family's 1533-position model. The record is from RNAcentral.
GACGAACGCUGGCGGCGUGCUUAACACAUGCAAGUCGAACGGAAAGGCCCUGCUUUUGUGGGGUUCUCGAUUGGCGAACGGGUGAGUAACACGUGAGUAACCUGCCCUUGACUUUGGUAUAACUUCAGGAAACUGGGGCUAAUACCGGAUAGGAGCUCCUGCUGCAUUGUGGGGGUUGGAAAGUUUCGGCGGUUGGGGAUGGACUCGCGGCUUAUCAGCUUGUUGGUGGGGUAGUGGCUUACCAAGGCUUUGACGGGUAGCCGGCCUGAGAGGGUGACCGGCCACAUUGGGACUGAGAUACGGCCCAGACUACUACGGGAGGCAGCAGUGGGGAAUAUUGCACAAUGGGCGGAAGCCUGAUGCAGCAACGCCGCGUGCGGGAUGACGGCCUUCGGGUUGUAAACCGCUUUCGCCUGUGACGAAGCGUGAGUGACGGUAAUGGGUAAAGAAGCACCGGCUAACUACGUG